CACGAUACACCUACAAGCGGUGGAUCACUCGAAUUACCAAUCGAUGAAGAACGCAGCCA
RNAcentral lists this ribosomal RNA (59 nucleotides) under Panonychus citri (citrus red mite). Its description in RNAcentral is "partial 5.8S ribosomal RNA". Lineage: Eukaryota; Metazoa; Arthropoda; Arachnida; Trombidiformes; Tetranychidae. The record is from RNAcentral.